This 481-nucleotide ribosomal RNA is filed under the name Blastocystis sp. RNAcentral describes it as "SSU rRNA". It matches the Rfam family "Eukaryotic small subunit ribosomal RNA", at positions 460 to 954 of the family's 1831-position model. Lineage: Eukaryota; Bigyra; Opalinata; Blastocystidae. The record is from RNAcentral.
GGAGGUAGUGACAAUAAAUCACAAUGCGGAACUUUUAGUUUUGCAAUUGGAUUGAGAACAAUGUACAAAUGUUAUCGACAAACAAUUGGAGGGCAAGUCUGGUGCCAGCAGCCGCGGUAAUUCCAGCUCCAAUAGCGUAUAUUAACGUUGUUGCAGUUAAAAAGCUCGUAGUUGAAAUGUGGGAUGAAGUAUAUAAUGAAUUUCUAAUUCAAUUGUAUAUUGAUUCCCCUCUCCAAUUUAUUAUUAUGGGUAUUAAUUUAUUUGUAAUAAGAAUUGGUCAUUUACUGUGAGAAAAUUAGAGUAUUCAAAGCAGGCAUUUGCUUGAAUAGAUUAGCAUGGAAUAAUACUAAAAGGCUUUUAUGGUCGAUUUAAUUGGUUUGUUCAUAAAAGCAAGAUUAAAAGGAACAGUUGGGGGUAUUCAUAUUCAAUAGUUAGAGGUGAAAUUCUCGGAUUUAUGGAAGAUGAACAAGUGCGAAAGCAA